CAUAAUCCAAUUAUAAUCCAUAUUCACUACCUCAUAAUCCAUAUACACUUAACCACUAUAUCCAAACACAUAUCAGCAAAUACCCAUAUCCAUAUCCUCAUCCAAUUAAGAAAAUGAAAUGCAAUUAUAAAUUAUACCAUAACAUGGAUUUGCAGAAAACGCAAUGAAGCAAUACAACUCAAAACGCGACACGAAGUGCAAAAUGAAACG
RNAcentral lists this long non-coding RNA (210 nucleotides) under Lathyrus oleraceus (garden pea). RNAcentral describes it as "Pisum sativum (pea) long non-coding RNA (PSAT_LNC018309)". The record is from RNAcentral. Lineage: Eukaryota; Viridiplantae; Streptophyta; Magnoliopsida; Fabales; Fabaceae.